RNAcentral lists this ribosomal RNA (508 nucleotides) under uncultured bacterium. RNAcentral's name for it is "partial 16S ribosomal RNA". It matches the Rfam family "Bacterial small subunit ribosomal RNA", at positions 28 to 507 of the family's 1533-position model. The record is from RNAcentral.
GACGAACGCUGGCGGCGUGCCUAAUACAUGCAAGUCGAACGCUUCUUUCCUCCCGAGUGCUUGCACUCAAUUGGAAAGAGGAGUGGCGGACGGGUGAGUAACACGUGGGUAACCUACCCAUCAGAGGGGGAUAACACUUGGAAACAGGUGCUAAUACCGCAUAACAGUUUAUGUCGCAUGGCAUAAGAGUGAAAGGCGCUUUCGGGUGUCGCUGAUGGAUGGACCCGCGGUGCAUUAGCUAGUUGGUGAGGUAACGGCUCACCAAGGCCACGAUGCAUAGCCGACCUGAGAGGGUGAUCGGCCACACUGGGACUGAGACACGGCCCAGACUCCUACGGGAGGCAGCAGUAGGGAAUCUUCGGCAAAGGACGAAAGUCUGACCGAGCAACGCCGCGUGAGUGAAGAAGGUUUUCGGAUCGUAAAACUCUGUUGUUAGAGAAGAACAAGGACGUUAGUAACUGAACGUCCCCUGACGGUAUCUAACCAGAAAGCCACGGCUAACUACGUG